AGAGUUUGAUCAUGGCUCAGAUUGAACGCUGGCGGCAGGCCUAACACAUGCAAGUCGAACGGUAACAGGAAGAAGCUUGCUUCUUUGCUGACGAGUGGCGGACGGGUGAGUAAUGUCUGGGAAGCUGCCUGAUGGAGGGGGAUAACUACUGGAAACGGUAGCUAAUACCGCAUAACGUCGCAAGACCAAAGAGGGGGACCUUCGGGCCUCUUGCCAUCGGAUGUGCCCAGAUGGGAUUAGCUAGUAGGUGGGGUAACGGCUCACCUAGGCGACGAUCCCUAGCUGGUCUGAGAGGAUGACCAGCCACACUGGAACUGAGACACGGUCCAGACUCCUACGGGAGGCAGCAGUGGGGAAUAUUGCACAAUGGGCGCAAGCCUGAUGCAGCCAUGCCGCGUGUAUGGAGAAGGCCUUCGGGUUGUAAAGUACUUUCAGCGGGGAGGAAGGGAGUAAAGUUAAUACCUUUGCUCAUUGACGUUACCCGCAGAAGAAGC
This 494-nucleotide ribosomal RNA is filed under the name uncultured bacterium. Its description in RNAcentral is "bacterial SSU rRNA". It matches the Rfam family "Bacterial small subunit ribosomal RNA", at positions 8 to 491 of the family's 1533-position model. The record is from RNAcentral.